AGUGGACGCUGGCGGUAGGCCUAACACAUGCAAGUCGAACGGCAGCACAGUAAGAGCUUGCUCUUACGGGUGGCGAGUGGCGGACGGGUGAGGAAUACAUCGGAAUCUACUUUUUCGUGGGGGAUAACGUAGGGAAACUUACGCUAAUACCGCAUACGACCUACGGGUGAAAGCAGGGGAUCUUCGGACCUUGCGCGAUUGAAUGAGCCGAUGUCGGAUUAGCUAGUUGGCGGGGUAAAGGCCCACCAAGGCGCCGAUCCGUAGCUGGUCUGAGAGGAUGAUCAGCCACACUGGAACUGAGACACGGUCCAGACUCCUACGGGAGGCAGCAGUGGGGAAUAUUGGACAAUGGGCGCAAGCCUGAUCCAGCCAUACCGCGUGGGUGAAGAAGGCCUUCGGGUUGUAAAGCCCUUUUGUUGGGAAAGAAAAGCAGCAGGUUAAUACCCCGCUGUUCUGACGGUACCCAAAGAAUAAGCACCGGCUAACUUCGUG
RNAcentral lists this ribosomal RNA (492 nucleotides) under uncultured bacterium. RNAcentral's name for it is "partial 16S ribosomal RNA". It matches the Rfam family "Bacterial small subunit ribosomal RNA", at positions 29 to 507 of the family's 1533-position model. The record is from RNAcentral.